UAUUUAUUUAAUACCUUUAAUUAAAGGCACUAAAUAAAUACCCAAAAUGUUUCUAUAAACAAAUAAGUUUUAAGAAUUUUAAUGUGCAAAAGAGAUAAAAACAAACUUAUUAAAUUUUAUUUCACUAUUUUUGGGUACUUCUACGAAUUUUGGUGAAUUAAAAGGUGCAGCAGUUAUUUAAAUUUAUUUUAAAACCGAAAAUUCCUCACCCUUAUCCGAAAACACCUUGGAAAUCUUUCCUACCGGCCCUCCCCUACCC
RNAcentral lists this long non-coding RNA (259 nucleotides) under Setaria viridis. RNAcentral's name for it is "long non-coding RNA (SVIR_LNC006682)". The record is from RNAcentral. Lineage: Eukaryota; Viridiplantae; Streptophyta; Magnoliopsida; Poales; Poaceae.